Molecule: long non-coding RNA, 3840 nt
Organism: Ochlerotatus camptorhynchus
Lineage: Eukaryota; Metazoa; Arthropoda; Insecta; Diptera; Culicidae
Exons: 3
Source: RefSeq, a predicted model, not a curated record
AGGCAAGAAAAAAAAAUCGAAAUUGAGCAAGUGAAGCAAUUGUAUCAACAAUCCAGACGAAACUAACGAUUUUAAAUUGGCUCACUACUUGACUAACCUAUUGGUCCCAAGCAAACGAUUAACGUACCCCAUUCUAAUCUAAAUUCUAGUACUACGCAAUGUUUGUUUUGAUUCGCUAUGAAAAUUUGACAGAUAAAAUGAGGGGUUAUUGGUUUUUCCUAUGUUUCGAGGGGUGAAUCGAUUAGCUUGGGACCGAAGAGAGUACCAGAGCUGAGCCAAAAAGUUGAGCACGUUAUUUCGGGACCUUCUAGUUUUAAGGGCCACCCACAUUAGAUCCGUUUGCGUUGCGUUGACGUAAAUUUGACAGUUAGACAAUAGAUUUAGCUGUCACUUUGCCACAACGCGUCCGAUCCGGAUCUAAUGUGCGUGGGCCUUUAGAGUUACCUCUAUGGUUGUAUGGUAUGAUAUGAAAUGAAUGCUCUGUAUUGGCGAAUCAAAGCAAAGCAAAAACUGGUCAUGUGACACCUAAUUUUAAGAUUCGCAAUUACAAAAAUGAUGAUGUACUAAAAAUAAUGUCAUGUAAUUUGACAGAUAUCCAAACUUCAUUACCAUUUUCACCCACACGCCAUCUAUGAGUUACCUAAUUGAUGAACUUACGUUACGGUCGACCAGCAGAUGGAAAUGAUUUAAAAAUGAUAAUGACGUUUUGCUACCUGUCAAAACGUAUGGAAUAUUUUUUAUUUAUCGAUAUCAAAGUUUUAAAAAAAUCGGUAUUUAUCGGUAUUUACUAUAUUAAUUUAUUUUCUAUUUUAGCUGUUUUUGAAAGUGAAAAUUUUAACGUUUGGACUAUGAUCGGAAAAUUCUGAAAGAAAACUCCGGGGAAUGUUUGAAUUAGCUUCUGAAGGAACAUCUAGAUAAAGAAGAAAGAAGCUUUUGUGGAAGAAAUUUGGGGAAAAUUCUAAGAAAAGUUGGAGAAACAUCCAGAAACUACCAAUACAAGAAUUGAGGAGCUACUAGUGAAUAUUCAAAGAAACCAUCGAACAAAAAAAAAAUCGGAUGUCACAUCCAAAGUAAGAAAAGUUUCGGAAUAGAAGUAAAUUCCAGAAGUAGCCAGUUCUAGGGGAAACCAGAAGAAGCUCGGAAAAACCUUCCACUAAAAAUCGAAAACCUAUGGCUUAUUGACACACUUCCAGAAGAAGACGGAAGAAACUUUCUGAAGACGCUGGCAGAAACUUCCUAAGGUAGAUUGCAAGAAACUACUGGAGAAAUUCGGAAGGCAGAGCCUAUGGAACAGUCGAAUGAAACAAGGACAUAAUUCCGGAAGAAAGAAAUUUCUGUAGGAUGUUCUAAUGAUCCAGCAAAUUUUCCUGAUAUUCAUAAAACAUCCCUGAAGUUUUCGGAACAUUUCUGAAAUGCACAUAGAUUCCUAUUCCAUAAUUCCACGGAAUUCCUUAAAAGCUACCUGAAUAUAUAUAAUCUUCUUUGAAGGUAUCUGGACUUUCUUGAAGAUAACGAAAUUUCUUAAGUGCUCUCACAAUUUUCUUGAAUUUAUUGUAUUAUUAGUAUGUAUUUUUUUCCUUUUCAUUUAACGUCGGUCUCUGUUCCGCAAUCUAGUGCCAAUCACCGACGGACAUCGAUUGCCAUCCAUUGACGGCAUUCGAAUGUGCAGGAUAUGCGUAGGAUAUCGCACCCAUUCAACACACAUGGGCCGGGACCAACGGCUUUACUUCCAUUCCGAAGGAAGACGUGACCAGAGAUUAUUAUGCCUCAGAAAAAUCCCACCGACCUCAGCUGGGAUUGAACCCAGACCCAUUGGGGUGUUAGAAAGCAGUCACGCUUACCACUACACCACCGGCGCCGGCUGUAUUAUUAGUAUUGAAGAUCUAUGAUCUUCCCAAUUUUUAAAAUUUUAGUUCUUGGCACUGCCAUUAUAAAGCACGGAAUUUCCCAUAAAAUGUUCUCACAAUGUUCUAAUGGUCAUGUAACUUCCCUUACGUUUCCUAAAUUUGUGGAACAUUGCCUGAGUUUCUCGGAAAUCCUUUAAAAUAUCAGCAUUUCCUUGAAAUUAAUUGAUCUGUCCUGAUGGUCACGGAGCUUCCCUAAAGUUCUCUCAAUUCUCUGAAACAAAUGAAACUUUCCUGAAAACCAUUAAAUUUCCCUGAAGUUCUUUGAACUAGUGAAGUUUCCAAAAUAUUUCUGAUGUUUUCAUAAGUUCACUGGAGUUCGCUGGACUUUCCUGAAAUUUUCGGGUUUUGGAAUUUGAACAGAAAUUAAUGAAACUAUCUUUAAUUUAUCGGAGCUUACUCAAAAGUCUAGACUUGUCUGAAUUUCAGAACUUCUUAAAAGUUCUUGCAGCUAGUGUGAAUCCACAAUAAAAAUAAGGAAACAUCCCUGAAGUUCAGGGGAAGUUGAAAAAAAAAACUGGCGGGAGAAGACGGAAGAACCAUUCGGGCGAUGGCUGAAGAAGCUUCCAAGGGAAGUUGAAAUAAGUUUUCGGGAGGAAUCGAGAAAUAAGUUAUGGUGUAAGGUGGAAGAAAACUCCAGGCGAAAGUUGGAAAAAAAUUCAGGAAGAUAAAAAUGAGUAAAAACUUAAGGAAGUUAAAAAAUGUUAAAAAAAUAUUUCGCGAUUCUCUACGAAUAACCGAAAAGAGCCAUCGACAGUUUAUCGAUUCCUGGGUAACCAAAAACGUUGAAGAAAUGGAAACAUUAGUCAAAAGAGUAUCAAUCAUAUGACAUUUUCAAAUAUGAUUUUUUUUAUGAAAAAUUUGAGUUAUUCAAAAAGAUACAAGUUUCUCACAGUAAUUUUCUCCAAAAUUCGAGUACGGUUAGGCAAUAAUAAUUUUGAUCAUUUGAAAAACAUCGGUAUAAAUCGGUACACAAUUUAAAAAAUCGCUAUUCUGAGGAAUCUUAUCUGUGUAUCGGUAUAUAGUUCGGAAAUCGGUAUAAAUACCGAUAAAUCGAUAUAUCUGGCAACGCUGAUGGGAACUUGCAUCGUUGUCAAUUGCACCCAGCGUUUCCAGUAUUCCAGAUUUAUCUGGAUUUUACAGAUUUUCAGUCGUCUUGCCAGAUACACGAACAGAACAAGUUUAUUUCCAGAAUAUCACUGCAAUUAAUGGACCCUCUAAUCAAAAAAUAAAAAGCCAAACUUACUACUUUAAUUACUAAAGGCCAUCAACGUUGGACAUUAUUGCAACAUCAUACAUGGAAUUGUUACAACAUGUUUGCAAUGGGUUGCAGAAUCAUGAAAAUUAAGUCAUUUUCUAAAGAUUAUUGGCGGUAAAAAAUCCUCAAAUUUUUAAAAAUAUCGAGCCAGGAUGGUUUUUGUUUAGAUGUUGACUAUAAUUUUUUUUUGGAAUCAUGGAUUUUUAAAAAUCAAUAUUCCAAUAUGGAGGAAUUUUCAUAAUUUUGGAAUUUAGAGAAAUCGAAAACUGUUCAGGAUUGAAAACAAUAAAUUGAGCUUUGGCAAGGCUUUUGAAUCUAGACAACCACCAGGACUUUGAAGUAUGUUCGUGAUAUUUUUGAGGAUAAUUAAUUAGAUUUUUAAAUAGAGUUUUAAAGUACCUGUGAAUAUCGAGUUACCUUAGUAGUCUGAAAAACUUUAGAAUUCUGAGUUGCCCUAGACUUCAGAAUUUUAAGGUAAUUCUGAAAAUAGUUUACAGUGAAGUGUAAGUAUGCAGUCUGUGCAACCUUUGAUUGAAGUAAAGACGGUAUAAAUUGUCUUUUGCCAACUCUGAUGACAAUUGCAUGGAGAUUUGUGAAGAAAGGAAAUAGUUAGAAUUCGAAAGAGAAAUCAUAGAAAAUUCUUAAGAUAAAACUUAAGGAGAAUGCUGAUAUGAAUCG